RNAcentral lists this ribosomal RNA (404 nucleotides) under Actinomycetes bacterium. RNAcentral's name for it is "Actinobacteria bacterium partial 16S ribosomal RNA". It matches the Rfam family "Bacterial small subunit ribosomal RNA", at positions 355 to 776 of the family's 1533-position model. The record is from RNAcentral. Lineage: Bacteria; Bacillati; Actinomycetota; Actinomycetes.
UGGGGAAUAUUGGACAAUGGGCGCAAGCCUGAUCCAGCCAUGCCGCGUGAGUGAUGAAGGCCCUAGGGUUGUAAAGCUCUUUCACCGGUGAAGAUAAUGACGGUAACCGGAGAAGAAGCCCCGGCUAACUUCGUGCCAGCAGCCGCGGUAAUACGAAGGGGGCUAGCGUUGUUCGGAUUUACUGGGCGUAAAGCGCACGUAGGCGGACGUUUAAGUCAGGGGUGAAAUCCCGGGGCUCAACCCCGGAACUGCCUUUGAUACUGGAAGUCUUGAGUAUGGUAGAGGUGAGUGGACUUCCGAGUGUGGAGGUGAAAUUCGUAGAUAUUCGGAGGUACACCAGUGGCGAAGGCGGCUCACUGGACCAUUACUGACGCUGAGGUGCGAAAGCGUGGAGAGCAAACAGG